Non-coding RNA from Acanthosepion pharaonis, 112 nucleotides. Lineage: Eukaryota; Metazoa; Mollusca; Cephalopoda; Sepiida; Sepiidae. The record is from the annotation of a GenBank genome assembly.
UUACGGCCACAUCACGUCGAAACACCGGUUGCCGUACGAUCACCGCCGUUAAGCAACGUCGAGCAUGGUCAGUACCUAGAUGGGUGACCGUUUUGGAAUACAAGGUGCUGCU